RNAcentral lists this ribosomal RNA (465 nucleotides) under uncultured bacterium. RNAcentral describes it as "partial 16S ribosomal RNA". It matches the Rfam family "Bacterial small subunit ribosomal RNA", at positions 338 to 795 of the family's 1533-position model. The record is from RNAcentral.
CCUACGUGAGGCAGCAGUAGGGAAUCUUCCACAAUGGGCGAAAGCCUGAUGGAGCAACGCCGCGUGGGUGAAGAAGGUCUUCGGAUCGUAAAACCCUGUUGUUAGAGAAGAAAGUGCGUGAGAGUAACUGUUCACGUUUCGACGGUAUCUAACCAGAAAGCCACGGCUAACUACGUGCCAGCAGCCGCGGUAAUACGUAGGUGGCAAGCGUUAGCCGGAUUUAUUGGGCGUAAAGGGAACUCAGGCGGUCGUUUCAGUCUGAUGUGAAAGCCUUCGGCUUAACCGGAGUAGUGCAUUGGAAACUGGGAGACUUGAGUGCAGAAGUGGAGAGUGGAACGCAAUGUGUAGCGGGGAAAGGCGUAGAUAGAUGGAAGAACACCAGUGGCGAAAGCGGCUCUCUGGUCUGUAACUGACGCUGAGGUUCGAAAGCGUGGGUAGCAAACAGGAUUAGAUACCCGGGUAGUC